AACCUACGGGAGGCUGCAGUUAGGAAUCUUCCGCAAUGGGCGAAAGCCUGACGGAGCGAUACCGCUUGAAGGACGAAGCCCUUCGGGGUGUAAACUUCUGAACUCGGGACGAUAAUGACGGUACCGAGGUAAUAGCACCGGCUAACUCCGUGCCAGCAGCCGCGGUAAUACGGAGGGUGCGAGCGUUACCCGGAUUUACUGGGUGUAAAGGGCGUGUAGGCGGUCUCUCAAGUCCGAUGCUAAAGACCGAAGCUCAACGUCGGGGGUGCGUUGGAUACUGUGAGGCUAGACGGUCGGAGAGGGUAGCGGAAUUUCCGGAGUAGCGGUGAAAUGCGCAGAUACCGGAAGGAACGCCAAUAGCGAAAGCAGCUACCUGGACGAUUUGUGACGCUGAGGCGCGAAAGCGUGGGGAGCAAACCGGAUUAGAUACCCCGGUAGUCAA
This 442-nucleotide ribosomal RNA is filed under the name uncultured Meiothermus sp. Its description in RNAcentral is "bacterial SSU rRNA". It matches the Rfam family "Bacterial small subunit ribosomal RNA", at positions 335 to 797 of the family's 1533-position model. Lineage: Bacteria; Thermotogati; Deinococcota; Deinococci; Thermales; Thermaceae. The record is from RNAcentral.